UUGAACCAAAAUAUAUAUUUUUCAUUGAUACUUAAAAGAUUGUUCAUACAUAUGGUUCAAAAAAAAAAAAGACUUCAGAAGAGGAAAUCUAACAACUAGUUCUCCCUUUUUGACACAACAAAAAGGAGUGGGAGGAACACAUAUCUUAAAAUGAAAAGGAUGGACAAAAGCCCUCAGGAGAUGAUUUGUGAAGGUUGGAGGUGAAUUAGGUAGUGGUGGGAUCAAGUCCCAACUUGGGCGCGAGUUAGGUGGUCAUCAAAUCCCGUAAGAUCGCAUUCUCCUAAUCUUGAUAAGUAUGUCGGUCGAUGAUAGUUUGGAGAGUAAUAAAGAUUUUGGGGAUGUCCUUACAAGUCUUUGAGGUGUUUUUAUCAAUUUUGGAAUGUUUUGAAGGACGAUGGUCUUCAUUCAGAAUUUGCGGUAGUGCAAAAAGAAGAUAGUAUGGUAAAAGUUGGCCUAAUGGUAGGAAGAGUACCUGAUGUGGAUUUAGUCUGAGGAACUGAAGGGUCAGGAAGAUCCAUAUAUGGAAAAGUCAGAUAUUCGUUAAUGCCAAAUAAAUAGGAACUAGUCUUUAGGGUUGAGACAAAAGCUAGAGACAUUUGAGAGGUUCAUUGAUGGUUAAGCUUUGAGUUGGAUUAACACCAAGAGGAAUGGAGCCUGAUGGAACAAAAGUAUAAUGAAGAUUGUUCUUUUGAAGCAGAUAAUGUUCUUAGGGAAUGUUGAUUCAACAUUUGGGUUCAACAAUGGUUUCCUCGCAUAUCGUUUACUUUUGAUUGAUCUAGAAGAGAAAUUAGUUUGAGUGUGGUGGAUGUUUAAGGAUGGUGUAAUGGACGAAUGUUUCUUCAUGUGGGAUAUAUUCUUGGAAGAGCAUUUGGAGAUUUUGAUGUUAGAGUUUUCAUUUGAGAUGGACAUUGAAGUACCUAAAGGUUUGGUGAGAACCAUACCAUAAGGAACAAUAUUUCUCUUGUAUCUCGAUUUAUUGAAGCAAUCAUGUUUUGAAUAAUGAUGAGGAAGAUUAAGCUUUUGGAAAUGGAGCCUAUGGUAGAUAACCAGAGCAUUGUUAUCUGAUACGUGCUCAUGGCUACCACAGUGAGGUAGGAUGGAAUGUUGACUAAUGUUGUUGAAUAUUUUUGGAAGAGGUUUUAAAUUGGCAAAUACAAAAUUUGUGGAACCAGAGAUAAAUAGCUCUUGAAAGAUCAAAUCUUUGUUGAUGUUGAGAGCGGAAUACCAAUCUUUCCCAAAGACUGUUGACCCUUCAGUGAGUAACUAUAAAAUCUCAGCGAGAAUGGCAGGGGUGAGGCAGAUUUCUACACCUUUCAGAGUGGAGACAAGAAGGGAUUUAUCAGCAAAAACUUGAUCUUUGCUGUAAAAGGCCCGAACAACUUCAGGAUAAAAUGAAUAUGAAACUUGUAGAAAGUCUGAACAGCCAAGUGCAUCACUAUGAUGUUUGAUUAAAGUACCUUCAAAUUAAAGGUUAUCAAACAUAAAAAUUUUGAUUAUGCCAAUGCGUCGUUUGGCCCAUUUGUCUUGGAAAACUUUUUGGUAUUUUGAAGAUAGUAGAGGAGGAAUUAGAAUUUUGAAAGAGGUUUUAUGUGACGAGUGUUGUUUCGGUUAAAAUUUGGAUAAUAAUUUUUCUUGUUAAUUGGGGUUAGGUAGAGAACAUUUUGAUGAAAUGAUUUUUGCUGGAGAACGUUCUGGAUUUUUGGUUUUGUGGGAAAGUUGUUUUGGGUUUUUGAGUUUUCGUUUGGCUAAGAAUUGAGAAAUGGUGGAAGAUGAUUUUGUUUUGGGGAUUGACUUAUUGGGUUUUGAAGGAAUGGAUUUUGAUUUUGAAGGUGAAAUUUUUGAAGUGGAUUUUGUUGGUGAAGUGGAUGGUUGGGAGGGUCUUGAAGAAGGUUAUGAAGAUUUUGAUGGAGCUUUUGAUGGUGAUCUUGGUUCAUAAUCAUCCGUCGGAGAUAAUGUAUCAAUACUUUUGGACUUAUUGGAGGUUCCAACUCAUGUCGUAGCCUCAUCAAUCUUUGUUUGGAUGACGUAUUAUCAGAGUGAGUUUUCAUGGAUUUUUUUCUUUAAAUGAGGGUGUACUUGGCUAUUUGUUGGAGGGCUACAUUGUUAGAGGGGUUGCAGUACAGUUGAGAGAAGAGCGAGUGAGAUGGGUUGUGGACUUGAUUUCAGGGAUAAGGAUAAAUAGUCAGAAAAAGUUUUUUCUAAUGAUGAUUUUUCUGGGGGUGUGGGUCUUUGUGGUGGAGAUGGUUAUCGAGAGGCAGAUGGAGAUAGGGUUCUAGAAUUCAUAUUUUUUCUAGAGGAAGUUUUAGUGCAAGUCAUUGUUGUUUGAGAGAGAAAGGAUGAACAAUGAGAAAGAAGAGAUUUUUUUUUUGCAAAUAAUGAAUACACUAGUUUACAGAGAG
RNAcentral lists this long non-coding RNA (2399 nucleotides) under Cicer arietinum (chickpea). RNAcentral describes it as "long non-coding RNA (CARI_LNC000643)". Lineage: Eukaryota; Viridiplantae; Streptophyta; Magnoliopsida; Fabales; Fabaceae. The record is from RNAcentral.